Oncorhynchus tshawytscha (Chinook salmon) is the source of this 1753-nucleotide long non-coding RNA. The record is from Ensembl. NCBI's taxonomy places the organism in Eukaryota, Metazoa, Chordata, Actinopteri, Salmoniformes, Salmonidae.
CUGUGUAUGUGAAAGAGAGAGAUUUAUCUCCCUGUGUAUGUGAAAGAGAGAGAUUUAUCUCCCUGUGUAUGUGAGAUUUAUCUCCCUGUGUAUGUGAGAGAGAAAUGUAUCUCCCUGUGUAUGUGAAAGAGAGAGAUUUAUCUCCAUGUGUAUGUGAAAGAGAGAUUUAGCUCCCUGUGUAUGUGAAAGAGAGAUUUAUCUCCCUGUGUAUGUGAAAGAGAGAUUUAUCUCCAUUUGAAAGAGAGAGAAAGAUUUAUCUCCCUGUGUAUGUGAAAGAGAGAGAGAUUUAUCUCCCUGUGUAUGUGAAAGAGAGAUUUAUCUCCCUGUGUAUGUGAAAGAGAGAGAUUUAUCUCCCUGUGUAUGUGAAAGAGAGAUUUAUCUCCCUGUGUAUGUGAGAGAUUUAUAUCCCUGUGUAUGUGAAAGAGAGAUUUAGCUCCCUGUGUAUGUGAAAGAGAGAGAGAGAUUUAUCUCCCUGUGUAUGUGAAAGAGAGAGAUUUAUCUCCCUGUGUAUGUGAAAGAGAGAGAGAUGUAUCUCCCUGUGUAUGUGAGAGAGAGAGAGAUUUAUCUCCCUGUGUAUGUGAGAGAGAGAGAGAGAUUUAUCUCCCUGUGUAUGUGAAAGAGAGAUUUAUCUCCCUGUGUAUGUGAGAGAGAGAGAGAUGUAUCUCCCUGUGUAUGUGAGAGAGAGAGAGUCCUUGUAUAGGUUUUGUGCCUGUGGUCAGUUGAAUAUGUGCAUUGUUAACAAGUCAGCCUAACAAUACGAUGACUAGGUUUCCAUAGAACCAAUGAUGGAGAAGAUGGGGAGAUUACAGGACUGUGGUCUGACACGGCCUGCAUCGUCUCAAAUGGCAUCCCAUUCCCUAUGUAGUGCACUACUUUUGACCAAGAGCCCCAGAAAUAGUGCACUAUAAAGGGAAUAGGGUACCAUUUGGGACGCCACAUGGAUGCUUCAAGCUGUCCCAGAUCAGUUACUAUUAUACCUCGCGUGUCAUUACCAAACACUGUAAUCACAUGGCUCUCCCUUUUCAAUGUCUGAGAUGUACUGUAAUUCAGUGGUAGGCUAUGGUGCGUUCAACAAGGCAGAGAGGGAAAGAGUGAGAGAGAAAGAGAGAGGGAAAGAGAGUGGGAGGUAAAGAGAGAGGGAAAGAGAGUGGGAGGUAAAGAGAGAGGGAAAGAGAGUGAGGGAAAGAGAGAGGGAAAGAGAGUGGGAGGUAAAGAGAGAGGGAAAGAGAGUGGGAGGUAAAGAGAGAGGGAAAGAGAGUGAGAGGGCAAGAGAGUGAGGGAAAGAGAGUGGGAGGUAAAGAGAGAGGGAAAGAGAGUGAGAGGUAAAGAGAGUGGGAGAUCCAACAACGACGAGACGGCCUACAGGGAGGAGGUGAGGGCCCUCGGAGUGUGGUGUCAGGAAAAUAACCUCACACUCAACGUCAACAAAACUAAGGAGAUGAUUGUGGACUUCAGGAAACAGCAGAGGGAACACCCCCCUAUCCACAUCGAUGGAUCAGUCGUGGAGAGGGUAGUAAGUUUUAAGUUCCUCGGCAUACACAUCACAGACAAACUGAAUUGGUCCACUCACACAGACAGCAUCGUGAAGAAGGCGCAGCAGCACCUCUUCAACCCCAGGAGGCUGAAGAAAUUCGGCUUGUCACCAAAAGCACUCACAAACUUCUACAGAUGCACAAUCGAGAGCAUCCUGGCGGGCUGUAUCACCGCCUGGUACGGCAACUGCUCCGCCCACAACCGUAAGGCUCUCCAGAGG